This 72-nucleotide transfer RNA is filed under the name Stegodyphus mimosarum. It matches the Rfam family "tRNA". Rfam says of the family: Transfer RNA (tRNA) molecules are approximately 80 nucleotides in length. The record is from Rfam by way of RNAcentral. Lineage: Eukaryota; Metazoa; Arthropoda; Arachnida; Araneae; Eresidae.
GCCUUCGUGGUGUAAUGGUCAACAUAUUCGGCACGUAUUCGAGAGGUCCAGGUUCGAGUCCCGGUGAGGGCA